RNAcentral lists this ribosomal RNA (495 nucleotides) under uncultured bacterium. RNAcentral's name for it is "partial 16S ribosomal RNA". It matches the Rfam family "Bacterial small subunit ribosomal RNA", at positions 28 to 507 of the family's 1533-position model. The record is from RNAcentral.
GACGAACGCUGGCGGCGUGCCUAAUACAUGCAAGUCGAACGCUGAAGGAGGAGCUUGCUUCUCUGGAUGAGUUGCGAACGGGUGAGUAACGCGUAGGUAACCUGCCUGGUAGCGGGGGAUAACUAUUGGAAACGAUAGCUAGUACCGCAUAAGAGUAGAUGUUGCAUGACAUUUGCUUAAAAGGUGCAAUUGCAUCACUACCAGAUGGACCUGCGUUGUAUUAGCUAGUUGGUGGGGUAACGGCUCACCAAGGCGACGAUACAUAGCCGACCUGAGAGGGGGAUCGGCGACACUGGGACUGAGACACGGCCCAGAAUCCUACGGGAGGCAGCAGUAGGGAAUCUUCGGCAAUGGACGGAAGUCUGACCGAGCAACGCCGCGUGAGUGAAGAAGGUUUUCGGAUCGUAAAGCUCUGUUGUAAGAGAAGAACGAGUGUGAGAGUGGAAAGUUCACACUGUGACGGUAUCUUACCAGAAAGGGACGGCUAACUACGUG